UAGGGAAUCUUCCGCAAUGGACGCAAGUCUGAUGGAGCAACGCCGCGUGAGUGAAGAAGGUUUUCGGACCGUAAAGCUCUGUUGUUGGUGAAGAAGGAUAGAGGUAGUAACUGGCCUUUAUUUGACGGUAAUCAACCAGAAAGUCACGGCUAACUACGUGCCAGCAGCCGCGGUAAUACGUAGGUGGCAAGCGUUGUCCGGAUUUAUUGGGCGUAAAGCGAGCGCAGGCGGAAGAAUAAGUCUGAUGUGAAAGCCCUCGGCUUAACCGAGGAAUUGCAUCGGAAACUGUUUUUCUUGAGUGCAGAAGAGGAGAGUAGAACUCCAUGUGUAGCGGUGGAAUGCGUAGAUAUAUGGAAGAAUACCAGUGGCGAAGGCGGCUCUCUGGUCUGCAACUGACGCUGAGGCUCGAAAGCAUGGGUAGCGAACAGGAUUAGAUACCCUGGUAGUCCAUGCCGUAAACGAUGAGUGCUAAGUGUUGGGAGGCUUCCGCCUCUCAGUGCUGCAGCUAACGCAUUAAGCACUCCGCCUGGGGGAGUACGACCGCAAGGUUGAA
This 553-nucleotide ribosomal RNA is filed under the name uncultured bacterium. RNAcentral's name for it is "partial 16S ribosomal RNA". It matches the Rfam family "Bacterial small subunit ribosomal RNA", at positions 355 to 898 of the family's 1533-position model. The record is from RNAcentral.